RNAcentral lists this ribosomal RNA (35 nucleotides) under Symbiodinium sp. RNAcentral describes it as "partial 28S ribosomal RNA". The record is from RNAcentral. Lineage: Eukaryota; Dinophyceae; Suessiales; Symbiodiniaceae.
UAGCAUGAAGUCAGACAAGUGAACCCGCUGAACUU